Molecule: long non-coding RNA, 692 nt
Organism: Carassius carassius (crucian carp)
Lineage: Eukaryota; Metazoa; Chordata; Actinopteri; Cypriniformes; Cyprinidae
Exons: 3
Source: RefSeq, a predicted model, not a curated record
AUUUAGCAGGGUUUAAAUGUGCUGCCUGCCAUCUGUCGCUCACCAAUUUUGAAGUGUUUUUUUUUAUUUCUUAGGAGACAGGACAGGAGUAGCUCAGAGUUGAGAACAGAAGUCAGAGAUAUUGAAUGAACCCCAAGCCGAGUCUCAUGUCUUCCCUUAUCAGCAAACAUCAGACUGCUGUGCAUCUCUCCAGCUUCAUUUGUUGUAGCCAGUGAAGCGAACACACAUUCCCUCAACAGAGCCAAGAAAAGCAGACCGUGCAUCAUGUUUGUGGAGAGAUCAGGGGAUUGGGUCCUCCAUCACCACAACGAGUGCAAUCAGGCCGUACGUCUCCAGGCUAAUGUUCUGUUUGUGUUGGUCGCCAUUGAGCAGAUGCGGAGGGCCGUCUGGGGCCACGAGAGGCACAUAACCGUCUGGCCAGGUGGGAAAGCGUAGAGGAAAGCCGAUUGUAUGCUGGAGGAGUGAGAACAUAGACACAUACUUAUAGAGUGACAUGAGUAAUCAACACAGAGGCAAGCUCAGAUUAAAUGUGACCCGAUCAAACCCCAUCGAAUUGGACAUAUUGAAUAACAAACUCACUGAGAAGCUGCACACUUAUUUCGUUCUUGCAUAAUAUGAUUGAGGUGUCCUUCUGCAGUAUGACAUAUUCUUCUAUUAUAGAUAUUUUUGGUGUAAACCAAAUGCAUUUAGAU